GAGGGUAUAGCUCAGUAGUAGGGUGCCUGCUUAGCAUGCAUGAGGUCCUGGGUUCAAUCCACAGUCCCUCCA
Molecule: transfer RNA, 72 nt
Filed under: Camelus bactrianus (Bactrian camel)
Lineage: Eukaryota; Metazoa; Chordata; Mammalia; Artiodactyla; Camelidae
Also listed under: 3 other names
Rfam family: tRNA
About the family: Transfer RNA (tRNA) molecules are approximately 80 nucleotides in length. Their secondary structure includes four short double-helical elements and three loops (D, anti-codon, and T loops).
Source: Rfam by way of RNAcentral